This is a non-coding RNA of Podarcis lilfordi (Lilford's wall lizard), 73 nucleotides long. The record is from the annotation of a GenBank genome assembly. Lineage: Eukaryota; Metazoa; Chordata; Lepidosauria; Squamata; Lacertidae.
UCUCAGAUAGCUCAGUUGGUGGAGCACGAGACUCUUAUUCUCAGAGUCAUGGGUUCAAGCCCCACUUUGGGCA